RNAcentral lists this ribosomal RNA (158 nucleotides) under Paraconiothyrium sp. RNAcentral's name for it is "5.8S ribosomal RNA". The stretch from base 1 to 59 matches the Rfam family "5.8S ribosomal RNA", at positions 96 to 154 of the family's 154-position model. Lineage: Eukaryota; Fungi; Ascomycota; Dothideomycetes; Pleosporales; Didymosphaeriaceae. The record is from RNAcentral.
AUCUUUGAACGCACAUUGCGCCCCUUGGUAUUCCAUGGGGCAUGCCUGUUCGAGCGUCAUCUACACCCUCAAGCUCUGCUUGGUGUUGGGCGUCUGUCCCGCCUCUGCGCGCGGACUCGCCCCAAAUUCAUUGGCAGCGGUCCUUGCCUCCUCUCGCG